UAGACGUGCAUUGUCAUGACAAAUCCUAUCAGCCCGCCGCGUGUGUAAGAAGGCCUCGGAUUGUAAGCCCUUUAGUUGGGAAGAACGACAGUCAGUUCAUACCCUGCUGUGCUGACCUUACCCACCGAAUAAGCCCCCGCCAACCUUCCUGCCCGCCGCCGCGGGGUAAUAAAAAA
This 176-nucleotide ribosomal RNA is filed under the name uncultured bacterium. RNAcentral describes it as "partial 16S ribosomal RNA". The record is from RNAcentral.